GACCUUUGUCAGCAAGUCCUGGUGCUUGCCUGAUGAAGUGAGCUACUCAGGCAGUUCAGGGUGAAGACCACAGGGAGCACCACAAAGAGCUGCAGGACUCACCAUUAACAGAGAGAGAAAUUAUAACCUGUGUCCAGCAAGCUCACUGCCUGGCAAUCUUCCUCCCUUUCAUUUGCAGUGGCACACUAAAAGCUGGCAAGACAGACUUUAUGCAAAGCCCUUCUGCAAUAAAGGAAACUUCUCUGCAGACAAAUGUUGGAUUAAACAAAUUCCCUGAUCCAAGUGGUAGGGCACAGAUUUUGCUCCUGUUCUCUGAGAUGAGUCUCUUACCAGCUGUAAUGCCUAUGAACAUUUG
This is a long non-coding RNA of Haemorhous mexicanus (house finch), 355 nucleotides long. RefSeq lists it as uncharacterized. The transcript has 3 exons. The record is from RefSeq and is a predicted model, not a curated record. NCBI's taxonomy places the organism in Eukaryota, Metazoa, Chordata, Aves, Passeriformes, Fringillidae.